CAGUCGCCGCGGGAAUACGUAGGUGGCAAGCGUUGUCCGGAAUUAUUGGGCGUAAAGGGCUCGCAAGCGGUUUCUUAAGUCUGAUGUGAAAGCCCCCGGCUCAACCGGGGAGGGUCAUUGGAAGCUGGGAAACUUGAGUGCAGAAGGGGAGAGUGGAAUUCCACGUGUAGCGGUGAAAUGCGUAGAGAUGUGGAGGAACACCAGUGGCGAAGGCGACUCUCUGGUCUGUAACUGACGCUGAGGAGCGAAAGCGUGGGGAGCGAACAGGAUUAGAUACCCCGGUAGUCCCUGUCUCUUAUAC
RNAcentral lists this ribosomal RNA (301 nucleotides) under uncultured bacterium. RNAcentral's name for it is "partial 16S ribosomal RNA". It matches the Rfam family "Bacterial small subunit ribosomal RNA", at positions 509 to 807 of the family's 1533-position model. The record is from RNAcentral.